This 1140-nucleotide ribosomal RNA is filed under the name Vibrio parahaemolyticus. RNAcentral describes it as "partial 23S ribosomal RNA". It matches the Rfam family "Bacterial large subunit ribosomal RNA", at positions 1793 to 2925 of the family's 2925-position model. The record is from RNAcentral. Lineage: Bacteria; Pseudomonadati; Pseudomonadota; Gammaproteobacteria; Vibrionales; Vibrionaceae.
GCUGCAACUGUUUAUUAAAAACACAGCACUGUGCAAAAUCGUAAGAUGACGUAUACGGUGUGACGCCUGCCCGGUGCCGGAAGGUUAAUUGAUGGGGUUAGACUUCGGUCGAAGCUCUUGAUCGAAGCCCCGGUAAACGGCGGCCGUAACUAUAACGGUCCUAAGGUAGCGAAAUUCCUUGUCGGGUAAGUUCCGACCUGCACGAAUGGCGUAAUGAUGGCCACGCUGUCUCCACCCGAGACUCAGUGAAAUUGAAAUCGCUGUGAAGAUGCAGUGUACCCGCGGCUAGACGGAAAGACCCCGUGAACCUUUACUACAGCUUGGCACUGAACAUUGACCCUACAUGUGUAGGAUAGGUGGGAGGCUUUGAAGCAGGUACGCCAGUAUCUGUGGAGCCGUCCUUGAAAUACCACCCUUGUAGUGUUGAUGUUCUAACGUUGACCCCUUAUCGGGGUUGCGGACAGUGCCUGGUGGGUAGUUUGACUGGGGCGGUCUCCUCCCAAAGAGUAACGGAGGAGCACGAAGGUGGGCUAAUCACGGUUGGACAUCGUGAGGUUAGUGCAAUGGCAUAAGCCCGCUUGACUGCGAGAAUGACAAUUCGAGCAGGUGCGAAAGCAGGUCAUAGUGAUCCGGUGGUUCUGAAUGGAAGGGCCAUCGCUCAACGGAUAAAAGGUACUCCGGGGAUAACAGGCUGAUACCGCCCAAGAGUUCAUAUCGACGGCGGUGUUUGGCACCUCGAUGUCGGCUCAUCACAUCCUGGGGCUGAAGUCGGUCCCAAGGGUAUGGCUGUUCGCCAUUUAAAGUGGUACGCGAGCUGGGUUUAGAACGUCGUGAGACAGUUCGGUCCCUAUCUGCCGUGGGCGUUGGAAGAUUGAAGGGGGCUGCUCCUAGUACGAGAGGACCGGAGUGGACGAACCUCUGGUGUUCGGGUUGUGUCGCCAGACGCAUUGCCCGGUAGCUAAGUUCGGAAUCGAUAACCGCUGAAAGCAUCUAAGCGGGAAGCGAGCCCUGAGAUGAGUCUUCCCUGAUACUUUAAGUAUCCUAAAGGGUUGUCGGAGACUACGACGUUGAUAGGUCAGGUGUGUAAGUGCUGUGAGGCAUUGAGCUAACUGAUACUAAUUGCCCGUGAGGCUUAACCAU